Molecule: ribosomal RNA, 2162 nt
Filed under: human gut metagenome
Description: bacterial LSU rRNA
Rfam family: Bacterial large subunit ribosomal RNA
Source: RNAcentral
GUUGAAAAAUUAGCGGAUGACUUGUGGCUGGGGGUGAAAGGCCAAUCAAACCGGGAGAUAGCUGGUUCUCCCCGAAAGCUAUUUAGGUAGCGCCUCGUGAAUUCAUCUCCGGGGGUAGAGCACUGUUUCGGCAAGGGGGUCAUCCCGACUUACCAACCCGAUGCAAACUGCGAAUACCGGAGAAUGUUAUCACGGGAGACACACGGCGGGUGCUAACGUCCGUCGUGAAGAGGGAAACAACCCAGACCGCCAGCUAAGGUCCCAAAGUCAUGGUUAAGUGGGAAACGAUGUGGGAAGGCCCAGACAGCCAGGAUGUUGGCUUAGAAGCAGCCAUCAUUUAAAGAAAGCGUAAUAGCUCACUGGUCGAGUCGGCCUGCGCGGAAGAUGUAACGGGGCUAAACCAUGCACCGAAGCUGCGGCAGCGACGCUUAUGCGUUGUUGGGUAGGGGAGCGUUCUGUAAGCCUGCGAAGGUGUGCUGUGAGGCAUGCUGGAGGUAUCAGAAGUGCGAAUGCUGACAUAAGUAACGAUAAAGCGGGUGAAAAGCCCGCUCGCCGGAAGACCAAGGGUUCCUGUCCAACGUUAAUCGGGGCAGGGUGAGUCGACCCCUAAGGCGAGGCCGAAAGGCGUAGUCGAUGGGAAACAGGUUAAUAUUCCUGUACUUGGUGUUACUGCGAAGGGGGGACGGAGAAGGCUAUGUUGGCCGGGCGACGGUUGUCCCGGUUUAAGCGUGUAGGCUGGUUUUCCAGGCAAAUCCGGAAAACCAAGGCUGAGGCGUGAUGACGAGGCACUACGGUGCUGAAGCAACAAAUGCCCUGCUUCCAGGAAAAGCCUCUAAGCAUCAGGUAACAUCAAAUCGUACCCCAAACCGACACAGGUGGUCAGGUAGAGAAUACCAAGGCGCUUGAGAGAACUCGGGUGAAGGAACUAGGCAAAAUGGUGCCGUAACUUCGGGAGAAGGCACGCUGAUAUGUAGGUGAAGCGACUUGCUCGUGGAGCUGAAAUCAGUCGAAGAUACCAGCUGGCUGCAACUGUUUAUUAAAAACACAGCACUGUGCAAACACGAAAGUGGACGUAUACGGUGUGACGCCUGCCCGGUGCCGGAAGGUUAAUUGAUGGGGUUAGCGGUAACGCGAAGCUCUUGAUCGAAGCCCCGGUAAACGGCGGCCGUAACUAUAACGGUCCUAAGGUAGCGAAAUUCCUUGUCGGGUAAGUUCCGACCUGCACGAAUGGCGUAAUGAUGGCCAGGCUGUCUCCACCCGAGACUCAGUGAAAUUGAACUCGCUGUGAAGAUGCAGUGUACCCGCGGCAAGACGGAAAGACCCCGUGAACCUUUACUAUAGCUUGACACUGAACAUUGAGCCUUGAUGUGUAGGAUAGGUGGGAGGCUUUGAAGUGUGGACGCCAGUCUGCAUGGAGCCGACCUUGAAAUACCACCCUUUAAUGUUUGAUGUUCUAACGUUGGCCCCUAAUCGGGGUUGCGGACAGUGUCUGGUGGGUAGUUUGACUGGGGCGGUCUCCUCCUAAAGAGUAACGGAGGAGCACGAAGGUUGGCUAAUCCUGGUCGGACAUCAGGAGGUUAGUGCAAUGGCAUAAGCCAGCUUGACUGCGAGCGUGACGGCGCGAGCAGGUGCGAAAGCAGGUCAUAGUGAUCCGGUGGUUCUGAAUGGAAGGGCCAUCGCUCAACGGAUAAAAGGUACUCCGGGGAUAACAGGCUGAUACCGCCCAAGAGUUCAUAUCGACGGCGGUGUUUGGCACCUCGAUGUCGGCUCAUCACAUCCUGGGGCUGAAGUAGGUCCCAAGGGUAUGGCUGUUCGCCAUUUAAAGUGGUACGCGAGCUGGGUUUAGAACGUCGUGAGACAGUUCGGUCCCUAUCUGCCGUGGGCGCUGGAGAACUGAGGGGGGCUGCUCCUAGUACGAGAGGACCGGAGUGGACGCAUCACUGGUGUUCGGGUUGUCAUGCCAAUGGCACUGCCCGGUAGCUAAAUGCGGAAGAGAUAAGUGCUGAAAGCAUCUAAGCACGAAACUUGCCCCGAGAUGAGUUCUCCCUGAGACUUAGAGUCUCCUGAAGGAACGUUGAAGACGACGACGUUGAUAGGCCGGGUGUGUAAGCGCAGCGAUGCGUUGAGCUAACCGGUACUAAUGAACCGUGAGGCUUAACCUU